Molecule: ribosomal RNA, 303 nt
Filed under: uncultured bacterium
Lineage: Bacteria
Description: partial 16S ribosomal RNA
Rfam family: Bacterial small subunit ribosomal RNA
Source: RNAcentral
AGCAGUCGCCACGGUAAUACGGAGGGAGCUAGCGUUGUUCGGAAUUACUGGGCGUAAAGCGCGCGUAGGCGGUUACUCAAGUCAGAGGUGAAAGCCCGGGGCUCAACCCCGGAACUGCCUUUGAAACUAGGUGACUAGAAUCUUGGAGAGGUCAGUGGAAUUCCGAGUGUAGAGGUGAAAUUCGUAGAUAUUCGGAAGAACACCAGUGGCGAAGGCGACUGACUGGACAAGUAUUGACGCUGAGGUGCGAAAGCGUGGGGAGCAAACAGGAUUAGAUACCCGCGUAGUCCCUGUCUCUUAUAA